CGUAGGCGGCUUACCAAGUCAGGCGUGAAAUUCCCGGGCUCAACCUGGGGGCUGCGCUUGAUACUGGUGAGCUUGAAUGCGGGAGAGGAUAGUGGAAUUCCCAGUGUAGAGGUGAAAUUCGUAGAUAUUGGGAAGAACACCGGUGGCGAAGGCGGCUAUCUGGCCCGUAAUUGACGCUGAGGCGCGAAAGCGUGGGGAGCAAACA
This 205-nucleotide ribosomal RNA is filed under the name uncultured bacterium. Its description in RNAcentral is "partial 16S ribosomal RNA". It matches the Rfam family "Bacterial small subunit ribosomal RNA", at positions 570 to 774 of the family's 1533-position model. The record is from RNAcentral.